Non-coding RNA from Salvelinus sp. IW2-2015, 797 nucleotides. NCBI's taxonomy places the organism in Eukaryota, Metazoa, Chordata, Actinopteri, Salmoniformes, Salmonidae. The record is from RefSeq and is a predicted model, not a curated record.
GCGAACCAUCAACUCCACUUUGACUCAGGCGCCAAACUGACCCCAGUGCACUGCUGUGAAUGGGAUUUACCUAUUUUAUUCAGUUCUGUGUGUUUUUGGUUCGUCAUUUUGUCACAUUGUCCAGUUGAAUAGAAAUAGUGUCCGUGUGCGUCAAGAAGAUUUAUGAACGGGUAGGCUUGGAUUACUUCUGGAGUGAACUUGUAUUGCGUGUUCUUGCGGGGACAGUUCAUAUCUAUUGUAGGACGAUGGUAAAGGCAUUAUCCGUCAUGACUUUACAUCUCGUAGGCAUUAUUAUGGGAGUCAGCAGGGUGAUUGCGUUGGAAUGGAUGCCUGACCCCCCAACAAUGAGCAUCCAGGACAAGGUCCUCAGGAUGAACCCAUCAGACUCGCUGGACAUCACCUGCAGUGGCCGUCAGUACCUGGAAUGGACCACAUCCUAUAAUCACAUACGUGCCGGCAGUCGUCUCUCCACUGUAGACUGUAGUGGGUCAGGAUUCUUCUGCACCACAUUACAAAUUUCCUCGGCCACUGUCAACGAGACUGGAGAGUAUUGAUGCUCCUACAGAGACCUGGCGGUGGAGGAUAGCAAAACCUCUGUGGCUGUUUAUGUCUUUGUCCAAGACUAUAAAGUGCCAUUUGUGCCCUUUGAUGAGGACUAUGAGAUUGUGCUUAUCAGUGAGGGAGUGCAGGUGGUUAUCCUAUGCCGCUGUCACGAAUACUACUGAAGGUGGCUCCCCUUCCCGUUCGGGUGGCGCUCGGCGGUCGUCGUCGCCGGUCUACUAGCUGCCACCGAUCCC